RNAcentral lists this ribosomal RNA (216 nucleotides) under Pheidole rochai. RNAcentral describes it as "partial large subunit ribosomal RNA". The record is from RNAcentral. Lineage: Eukaryota; Metazoa; Arthropoda; Insecta; Hymenoptera; Formicidae.
GAAUUUUAUAUAAAUUUAAUGAAUAUAUUAAUUUAAAAAUUUGUUAUUUUUAUAUUUUGUUGGGAGGAUAAUUAAAUUAUAGAAACUUUAAAAAUAUGAUUCCAUAGAUAAAUGAAUUAAUAGAUUAAGAAUGGUUAAAAAGUUUAAAUAGAAUUAAUUACCUUAGGGAUAACAGCGUUAUAUCUUUAGAGAGACCUUAUUAAUAGAGAUGUUUGC